AUGUCAAAAGCUAAUUGGAGUCCAGAAAUGACCACCGUUUUUUGCAAUCUCGCUGCUAAGAAGAAGGAAAAGGGGAAUAGGCCUGCCAAAUUUUUGAACCCUGCUGGAUACAAGAAUGUAGAAGUUGGCUUCUUUCAGCAGACCGGAAAACUUUACAGUAGGCUGCAGUUCAAAAAUAAAUGGGGCAGUUUGAGGACCUUGUAUAGGGAUUGGCUGAUCCUAAAGAAUACAUCUACUGGACUUGGUUGGAAUGAUGAAACGAACACCAUGAUUGCUGAUGACGAAUGGUGGAAGAAGGCCGAUGAAGUUCAGGACUCUCCAUUAUUUCAAGCCACUUUGGAUUACACGUGA
Molecule: ribosomal RNA, 351 nt
Filed under: Triticum aestivum (bread wheat)
Lineage: Eukaryota; Viridiplantae; Streptophyta; Magnoliopsida; Poales; Poaceae
Description: partial small subunit ribosomal RNA
Source: RNAcentral